GAUGAACGCUGGCGGCGUGCCUAACACAUGCAAGUCGAGCGAACGGACCAGAAGCUUGCUUCUCUGAUGUUAGCCGCGGACGGGUGAGUAACACGAGGAUAACCCACCUAUCAAACUGGUAUCACCACGGGAAACCGGCGCUAAUACCGGAUAAAAUUUUGCACCGCAUGGUUCCAAAGUGAAAGACGGCCUUGCUGUCACUUAUAGCUGCAUCCGCGCUGCAUUAGCUAGUUGGUAAGGUAACGGCUUACUAAGGCGACGAUGCAUAGCCGACCUGAGAGGGUGAUCGGCCACCCGGGAAGUCAGACACGAUCCCGGCUACUACGGGAGGCACCAGUCGGGAACCUUCCGCAAUAGGCGAAAGCCUGGCAGAGCCACCCCGCGUGAGUGAUGAAGGCCUCCGGAUCGUAAAACUCUGUUAUGAGGGAAGAACAUAUGUGUAAGUACCUGUACACAUCUUGACGGUACCUAAUCAGAAAGCAACGGCUAACUACGUG
This 497-nucleotide ribosomal RNA is filed under the name uncultured bacterium. RNAcentral's name for it is "partial 16S ribosomal RNA". It matches the Rfam family "Bacterial small subunit ribosomal RNA", at positions 28 to 507 of the family's 1533-position model. The record is from RNAcentral.